CAACGAUAAAGUAACCCUCCGGCUCCCUCUUUGUAACUUCCUACCGCUGCGUCAUUUGGAGUUUAGUCCAGGGCAAUGCGUGUGAUGAACCUCCAGCCUUACGUGCAGAGAGCUGUCAAGUGUCCCUGGCCCUAAUUACAGAACUGCUGCUAUCGCCUCCCUUUGUCUUACCCAAGUUGGCAAGUGUCCAUUUUCCCAAACAACAAAGAUCGGAAGAGAUAAAACAAUUCUUAAUUGUGGUCCAUCACCAGAAAUACCUUGCUCUGUGCUGCUUUUGACCAAAGAAAAGAAAACAACCGACAGUUGAGACCCUUUAGAAAAGCCUUGGAAUUCUCCAGCAUGCCCUCCGUGGACUGGAACCUGGUGUGCAAAGACUAUGAAGAUGUAAAAUGGACGACAGCUGCCAUAUGGUGGUGAGAAGGAGCCAUCGUCUAUAAAACAGGCAUUGUGGAGCCUCUACACAAGCCAGGAGCCGGAAAAGAGCCUCAGACAUUAGGACGUUAGAACAGCAGGACUUGUGGGGAGAUGGAACAUUUUGGUAUUUAUAGGAAUUGGUAGCUGCCGAGCUUGUAAUCAUUUGGUUUGGGUAUUUAUGACUGCUCAUGGUCAUUCACUCAUCAAGGGAAAGGACGAGCCUGGAAGGCACUCCAGGGCUCCACACAGGCAAACGACCAGUGUUUGCUCACUUUAAAGAAAAGACAAGCAGCAUAGGGGCUUUGUUGCACUUCCUGGCCGUAAUCAUCUCUCUUUCUACUGUUGUAUAUGUCAGGGGUGAAUGUGUAGGCCCCAGUAACACUGAGGAGGAAAAACCUUCAAGAAGACAGAAGGCCACCACAUCAGAUUUUCAUUUGUCCCCACCAUUAACUGACAAACAUGCCACUGGGGUGGUGUGGGAGGUCCUUCUGUGUAUGUGCUGCCUUUGCUGGUUAAUGAAUAAAGAAGCUGCUUUGGGCCUGUGCAGAACAGAAUAGC
Myodes glareolus (Bank vole) is the source of this 972-nucleotide non-coding RNA. The record is from RefSeq and is a predicted model, not a curated record. NCBI's taxonomy places the organism in Eukaryota, Metazoa, Chordata, Mammalia, Rodentia, Cricetidae.